UGGGGAAGUAUUGCACAAUGGGGGAAACCCGUGAUGCAGCGACGCCGCGUGAGUGAAGAAGUAUUUCGGUAUGUAAAGCUCUAUCAGCAGGGAAGAAAAUGACGGUACCUGACUAAGAAGCCCCGGCUAACUACGUGCC
This 139-nucleotide ribosomal RNA is filed under the name uncultured bacterium. RNAcentral describes it as "partial 16S ribosomal RNA". It matches the Rfam family "Bacterial small subunit ribosomal RNA", at positions 355 to 509 of the family's 1533-position model. The record is from RNAcentral.